RNAcentral lists this ribosomal RNA (410 nucleotides) under Klebsiella pneumoniae. RNAcentral's name for it is "bacterial SSU rRNA". It matches the Rfam family "Bacterial small subunit ribosomal RNA", at positions 1122 to 1532 of the family's 1533-position model. The record is from RNAcentral. Lineage: Bacteria; Pseudomonadati; Pseudomonadota; Gammaproteobacteria; Enterobacterales; Enterobacteriaceae.
CGGUCCGGCCGGGAACUCAAAGGAGACUGCCAGUGAUAAACUGGAGGAAGGUGGGGAUGACGUCAAGUCAUCAUGGCCCUUACGACCAGGGCUACACACGUGCUACAAUGGCAUAUACAAAGAGAAGCGACCUCGCGAGAGCAAGCGGACCUCAUAAAGUAUGUCGUAGUCCGGAUUGGAGUCUGCAACUCGACUCCAUGAAGUCGGAAUCGCUAGUAAUCGUAGAUCAGAAUGCUACGGUGAAUACGUUCCCGGGCCUUGUACACACCGCCCGUCACACCAUGGGAGUGGGUUGCAAAAGAAGUAGGUAGCUUAACCUUCGGGAGGGCGCUUACCACUUUGUGAUUCAUGACUGGGGUGAAGUCGUAACAAGGUAACCGUAGGGGAACCUGCGGUUGGAUCACCUCCUU